This 408-nucleotide ribosomal RNA is filed under the name uncultured bacterium. RNAcentral describes it as "partial 16S ribosomal RNA". It matches the Rfam family "Bacterial small subunit ribosomal RNA", at positions 28 to 526 of the family's 1533-position model. The record is from RNAcentral.
GACGAACGCUGGCGGCGUGCUUAACACAUGCAAGUCGAACGGAGUGGCGAACGGGUGGGUAACAAGUGGGUGACCUGCCCUGCACUUCGGGAUAAGCCUGGGAAACUGGGUCUAAUACCGGAUAGUGUGGGAUGGGCCCGCGGCCUAUCAGCUUGUUGGUGGGGUAAUGGCCUACCACGGCGGCGACGGGUAGCCGGCCUGGGCGGGUGGACGGGCACAUGGGGACGGCGAGACGGCCCAGAGUCCUACGUGGGGCAGCAGUCGGGAAUAUGGGACAAUGGGCUGAAGCCUGAGGCAGCGGCGCCGGGUGGGGAAUGACGGCCUUCGGGUUGUAAACUCCUUUCACCAUAGACGCGGUAGAUGGAGAAGAAGCACCGGCUAACUACGUGCCAGCAGCCGCGGUAAUAC